This 427-nucleotide ribosomal RNA is filed under the name uncultured soil bacterium. RNAcentral's name for it is "bacterial SSU rRNA". It matches the Rfam family "Bacterial small subunit ribosomal RNA", at positions 26 to 454 of the family's 1533-position model. The record is from RNAcentral.
AGAUUGAACGCUGGCGGCAGGCUUAACACAUGCAAGUCGAGCGGUAGCAGGUCCUUCGGGAUGCUGACGAGCGGCGGACGGGUGAGUAAUACAUAGGAAACUGCCCAGUAGUGGGGGAUAGCCCGGGGAAACCCGGAUUAAUACCGCAUACGCCCUUUGGGGGAAAGCAGGGGAUCUUCGGACCUUGCGCUAUUGGAUGUGCCUAUGUCGGAUUAGCUAGUUGGUGGGUAAAGGCCUACCAAGGCGACGAUCCGUAGCUGGUCUGAGAGGAUGAUCAGCCACAUCGGGACUGAGACACGGCCCGAACUCCUACGGGAGGCAGCAGUGGGGAAUAUUGGACAAGUGGGGGCAACCCUGAUCCAGCCAUGCCGCGUGUGUGAAGAAGGCGUUUCGGGUUGUAAAGCACUUUCAGUGAAGGAGGAACGUA